Ribosomal RNA from Fukomys damarensis (Damara mole-rat), 109 nucleotides. Lineage: Eukaryota; Metazoa; Chordata; Mammalia; Rodentia; Bathyergidae. The record is from Ensembl.
AGAUAUGGCCACACCACCCUGAAUGUGCCCGAUCUCUUCCGAUCUCAGAAGCUAAGCAGGGUCUGGCCUGGUUAGUACUUGGGUGGGAGAAUACAGAAUGUAAUCACUA